This 494-nucleotide ribosomal RNA is filed under the name uncultured bacterium. Its description in RNAcentral is "partial 16S ribosomal RNA". It matches the Rfam family "Bacterial small subunit ribosomal RNA", at positions 28 to 507 of the family's 1533-position model. The record is from RNAcentral.
GACGAACGCUGGCGGCGCGCUUAACACAUGCAAGUCGAACGGAAAGGCCUGCUUUCCCUUGUGGAUUGCGGGUACUCGAGUGGCGAACGGGUGAGUAACACGUGAGUGAUCUGCCCCCAACUUGGGUAUAAGCCUGGGAAACUGGGUCUAAUUCCCGAUAGGACUGCAGGGUGGUGCCUGUGGUGGAAAACGAUUUUCUAGUGGUUGGGGAUGAGCUCGCGGCCUAUCAGCUUGUUGGUGGGGUAAUGGCCUACCAAGGCGGCGACGGGUAGCCGGCCUGAGAGGGUGGACGGCCACAUUGGGACUGAGAUACGGCCCAGACUCCUAGGGGAGGCAGCAGUGGGGAAUAUUGCACAAUGGGCGGAAGCCUGAUGCAGCGACGCCGCGUGGGGGAUGACGGCCUUCGGGUUGUAAACUCCUUUCGACCGCGAGGAAGCCACCUGGUUGGAAGGGUGGUGACGGUAGUGGUAGAAGAAGCACCGGCUAACUACGUG